CGGAUUGCAGGCUGCAACUCGCCUGCAUGAAGCUGGAAUUGCUAGUAAUCGCGGAUCAGCAAGCCGCGGUGAAUACGUUCCCGGGCCUUGUACACACCGCCCGUCACACCAUGAGAGUCGGGAACACCCGAAGUCCGUAGUCUAACCGCAAGGGGGGCGCGGCCGAAGGUGGGUCCGGUAAUUGGGGUGAAGUCGUAACAAGGUACC
This 207-nucleotide ribosomal RNA is filed under the name uncultured bacterium. Its description in RNAcentral is "partial 16S ribosomal RNA". It matches the Rfam family "Bacterial small subunit ribosomal RNA", at positions 1294 to 1500 of the family's 1533-position model. The record is from RNAcentral.